UACGUAGGGUGCGAGCGUUAAUCGGAAUUACUGGGCGUAAAGCGUGCGCAGGCGGUUUUGUAAGACAGAUGUGAAAUCCCUGGGCUCAACCUAGGAAUUGCAUUUGUGACUGCCCGGCUAGAGUGUGUCAGAGGGGGGUAGAAUUCCACGUGUAGCAGUGAAAUGCGUAGAUAUGUGGAGGAAUACCGAUGGCGAAGGCAGCCCCCUGGGAUAACACUGACGCUCAUGCACGAAAGCGUGGGGAGCAAACAGG
RNAcentral lists this ribosomal RNA (253 nucleotides) under uncultured bacterium. RNAcentral's name for it is "partial 16S ribosomal RNA". It matches the Rfam family "Bacterial small subunit ribosomal RNA", at positions 524 to 776 of the family's 1533-position model. The record is from RNAcentral.